GCUAGUGCAGCUUAGUAGGUAGAGUGCUUGCCUAGCAUGCAUGAGGCCCUGGGUUAGAUCCCUAGCACCGCA
RNAcentral lists this transfer RNA (72 nucleotides) under Cricetulus griseus (Chinese hamster). It matches the Rfam family "tRNA". Rfam says of the family: Transfer RNA (tRNA) molecules are approximately 80 nucleotides in length. Their secondary structure includes four short double-helical elements and three loops (D, anti-codon, and T loops). Further hydrogen bonds mediate the characteristic L-shaped molecular structure. tRNAs have two regions of fundamental functional importance: the anti-codon, which is responsible for specific mRNA codon recognition, and the 3' end, to which the tRNAs corresponding amino acid is attached (by aminoacyl-tRNA synthetases). tRNAs cope with the degeneracy of the genetic code in two manners: having more than one tRNA (with a specific anti-codon) for a particular amino acid; and 'wobble' base-pairing, i.e. permitting non-standard base-pairing at the 3rd anti-codon position. The record is from Rfam by way of RNAcentral. Lineage: Eukaryota; Metazoa; Chordata; Mammalia; Rodentia; Cricetidae.